This 508-nucleotide ribosomal RNA is filed under the name uncultured Glomus. Its description in RNAcentral is "SSU rRNA". It matches the Rfam family "Eukaryotic small subunit ribosomal RNA", at positions 569 to 1078 of the family's 1831-position model. The record is from RNAcentral. Lineage: Eukaryota; Fungi; Glomeromycota; Glomeromycetes; Glomerales; Glomeraceae.
AGCAGCCGCGGUAAUUCCAGCUCCAAUAGCGUAUAUUAAAGUUGUUGCAGUUAAAAAGCUCGUAGUUGAAUUUCGGGGUUAGUAGGUUGGUCAUGCCUCUGGUAUGUACUGGUCUCACUGAUUCCUCCUUCCUGAUGAAUCUUAAUGCCAUUAAUUUGGUGUUUUGGGGAAUUUGGACUGUUACUUUGAAAAAAUUAGAGUGUUUAAAGCAAGCUAACGCUUGAAUACAUUAGCAUGGAAUAAUGAAAUAGGACGUUCGAUCCUAUUUUGUUGGUUUCUAGGAUUGACGUAAUGAUUAAUAGGGAUAGUUGGGGGCAUUAGUAUUCAAUUGUCAGAGGUGAAAUUCUUGGAUUUAUUGAAGACUAACUACUGCGAAAGCAUUUGCCAAGGAUGUUUUCAUUAAUCAAGAACGAAAGUUAGGGGAUCGAAGACGAUCAGAUACCGACGUAGUCUUAACCAUAAACUAUGCCGACUAGGGAUCGGAUGAUGUUAAUUUUUUAAUGACUCA